This 497-nucleotide ribosomal RNA is filed under the name uncultured bacterium. RNAcentral's name for it is "partial 16S ribosomal RNA". It matches the Rfam family "Bacterial small subunit ribosomal RNA", at positions 28 to 507 of the family's 1533-position model. The record is from RNAcentral.
GAUGAACGCUGGCGGCGUGCCUAAUACAUGCAAGUCGAGCGAACGGACGAGAAGCUUGCUUUUCUGAUGUUAGCGGCGGACGGGUGAGUAACACUUGGAUAACCUACCUAUAAGACUGGGAUAACUUCGGGAAACCGGAGCUAAUACCGGAUAAUAUUUUGAACCGCAUGGUUCAAAAUUGAAAGACGUUCUUGCUGUCACUUAUAGAUGGAUCCGCGCUGCAUUAGCUAGUUGGUAAGGUAACGGCUUACCAAGGCAACGAUGCAUAGCCGACCUGAGAGGGUGAUCGGCCACACUGGAACUGAGACACGGUCCAGACUCCUACGGGAGGCAGCAGUAGGGAAUCUUCCGCAAUGGGCGAAAGCCUGACGGAGCAACGCCGCGUGAGUGAUGAAGGUCUUCGGAUCGUAAAACUCUGUUAUUAGGGAAGAACAUAUGUGUAAGUAACUGUGCACAUCUUGACGGUACCUAAUCAGAAAGCCACGGCUAACUACGUG